RNAcentral lists this unclassified non-coding RNA (335 nucleotides) under Hevea brasiliensis (rubber tree). Lineage: Eukaryota; Viridiplantae; Streptophyta; Magnoliopsida; Malpighiales; Euphorbiaceae. The record is from RNAcentral.
UUGAGCCUUUAAUAACUAUGGUGGGCACUAUUAUUCACAGGGAUCUCUCAACUCCAAACUUUGUAAUUGGAUGGCAUAUGCUCUUGCUACCAAUCUGAUAGGCUUCAUCAUAUGAAAGUUUCAUUUUACAAAAUUUGCAAAAUGAUAUGCAUGGAUUAGGCACCAAAUAGAGUAAUGCUUUUACUGAUAAGAAGCUUAUGUUGCUUGAUUUUAUCAAAGCAUCUACACGCUUGAAGUACUUUUUUUAGCAAAUUUGAGUAUUUCUGAACUGUCAAGUAUCCACACUGGACAUACAUUCUCCAUUGCAGCCCAGAGGCUUCAGCUUGCUAGUGUAU